Engraulis encrasicolus (European anchovy) is the source of this 378-nucleotide long non-coding RNA. RefSeq lists it as uncharacterized. The transcript is spliced from 2 exons. The record is from RefSeq and is a predicted model, not a curated record. Lineage: Eukaryota; Metazoa; Chordata; Actinopteri; Clupeiformes; Engraulidae.
UGUUCCUUCUUAUAUUUAUUCUCAGAAAGCACCAUCAUGUGGAAGACCACCUCAAAGAGGAGAUGUCUCCAGCCCCCAACAGAGAGACCAUGUGAUGAGCCUCCUGUGACAGAUUCUGACACCGAAGCCUACAUCAAACUCAACCCCAUACUCAGAGCACACAUUCAGAAGUUGCUGAAACUCAACAGCGCCGGGGGACAUGGGCCUAAUAGCCAGAUCAUCAAAUGGUUGAAAACGGUGCAUGUGUUUUAUUGUCUGUGUCUACAUCUCGUCAUACAUCCAGUGUGUUUUGUUUUUUUAACAGACGUGUUUUCACAAUGACACUCUGUGAAUUUACUUUUGAACAAAGUGUCUUGUGUAUAAAAUGGUGUGCAGACA